Molecule: ribosomal RNA, 497 nt
Filed under: uncultured bacterium
Lineage: Bacteria
Description: partial 16S ribosomal RNA
Rfam family: Bacterial small subunit ribosomal RNA
Source: RNAcentral
GAUGAACGCUGGCGGCGUGCCUAAUACAUGCAAGUCGAGCGAACGGACGAGAAGCUUGCUUCUCUGAUGUUAGCGGCGGACGGGUGAGUAACACGUGGAUAACCUACCUAUAAGACUGGGAUAACUUCGGGAAACCGGAGCUAAUACCGGAUGAUAUUUUGAACCGCAUGGUUCAAAAGUGAAAGACGGUCUUGCUGUCACUUAUAGAUGGAUCCGCGCUGCAUUAGCUAGUUGGUAAGGUAACGGCUUACCAAGGCAGCGAUGCAUAGCCGACCUGAGAGGGUGAUCGGCCACACUGGAACUGAGACACGGUCCAGACUCCUACGGGAGGCAGCAGUAGGGAAUCUUCCGCAAUGGGCGAAAGCCUGACGGAGCAACGCCGCGUGAGUGAUGAAGGUCUUCGGAUCGUAAAACUCUGUUAUUAGGGAAGAACAUAUGUGCAAGUAACUGUGCACAUCUUGACGGUACCUAAUCAGAAAGCCACGGCUAACUACGUG